GAUGAAGAACGUAGCGAAAUGCGAUACUUGGUGUGAAUUGCAGAAUCCCGUGAACCAUCGAGUCUUUGAACGCAAGUUGCGCCUCAAGCCAUUAGGUUGAGGGCACGUCUGCCUGGGCGUCACAUAUCGUUGCCUGAUGCCAGUUUCCUCGUGAUGGGUGACUGUGCAGGGCGAAUGAUGGCUUCCCGUGAGCAUUGUUGCCUCAUGGUUGGUUGAAAAUUGAGUCCUUGGUAGGGAGCGCCGUGAUAGAUGGUGGUUGAGGGACGAACGAGACCCAAUCAUGUGAGACCCCUACCGAAUUUGGCCUUCAUGACCCACAUGCGUCUUUGGAACGCUCAUGACGAGACCUCAGGUCAGGCGGGGCUACCCGCUGAGUUUAAGCAUAUCAAUAAGCGGAGGA
Molecule: unclassified non-coding RNA, 400 nt
Filed under: soil metagenome
Description: partial contains 5.8S ribosomal RNA, internal transcribed spacer 2, and large subunit ribosomal RNA
Rfam family: 5.8S ribosomal RNA (bases 1-122)
Source: RNAcentral